UAAUACAUCGGAACGUGCCCAGUCGUGGGGGAUAACGUAGCGAAAGCUACGCUAAUACCGCAUACGAACUCUGGUUGAAAGCGGGGACUCGCAAGGGCCUCGCGCGAUUGGAGCGGCCGAUGGCAGAUUAGGUAGUUGGUGGGGUAAAGGCUCACCAAGCCGACGAUCUGUAGCUGGUCUGAGAGGACGACCAGCCACACUGGGACUGAGACACGGCCCAG
Molecule: ribosomal RNA, 221 nt
Filed under: uncultured bacterium
Lineage: Bacteria
Description: partial 16S ribosomal RNA
Rfam family: Bacterial small subunit ribosomal RNA
Source: RNAcentral